Molecule: ribosomal RNA, 743 nt
Filed under: uncultured bacterium
Lineage: Bacteria
Description: bacterial SSU rRNA
Rfam family: Bacterial small subunit ribosomal RNA
Source: RNAcentral
AGAGUUUGAUCAUGGCUCAGGAUGAACGCUGGCGGUCUGCUUAACACAUGCAAGUCGAACGGGUGUAGCAAUACAUUAGUGGCGGACGGGUGAGUAACGCGUGAGAAUCUGGCUUUGGGUUCGGGACAACCACUGGAAACGGUGGCUAAUACCGGAUGUGCCGAAAGGUAAAAGGUUUACCGCCUGAAGAUGAGCUCGCGUCUGAUUAGCUAGUUGGUGUGGUAAGAGCGCACCAAGGCGACGAUCAGUAGCUGGUCUGAGAGGAUGAUCAGCCACACUGGGACUGAGACACGGCCCAGACUCCUACGGGAGGCAGCAGUGGGGAAUAUUGGACAAUGGGGGCAACCCUGAUCCAGCCAUGCCGCGUGAGUGAUGAAGGCCUUAGGGUUGUAAAGCUCUUUCGCACGCGACGAUAAUGACGGUAGCGUGAGAAGAAGCCCCGGCUAACUUCGUGCCAGCAGCCGCGGUAAUACGAAGGGGGCUAGCGUUGCUCGGAAUCACUGGGCGUAAAGCGCGCGUAGGCGGAUCUUUAAGUCAGGGGUGAAAUCCCGGGGCUCAACCCCGGAACUGCCUUUGAUACUGGGGAUCUUGAGUUCGAGAGAGGUUGGUGGAACUGCGAGUGUAGAGGUGAAAUUCGUAGAUAUUCGCAAGAACACCAGUGGCGAAGGCGGCCAACUGGCUCGACACUGACGCUGAGGCGCGAAAGCGUGGGGAGCAAACAGGAUUAGAUACCCCCGUAGUCC